CCUACGGGUGGCUGCAGUGGGGAAUCUUGCGCAAUGGACGAAAGUCUGACGCAGCCACGCCGCGUGAGUGAAGAAGGCCUUCGGGUCGUAAAGCUCUGUCGGAUGGGACGAAAAUGCCUAAGGUGAAUAGCCUUAGGUACUGACGGUACCGUCAAAGGAAGCACCGGCUAACUCUGUGCCAGCAGCCGCGGUAAUACAGAGGGUGCAAGCGUUGCUCGGAAUUAUUGGGCGUAAAGGGUAGGUAGGUGGUCUCAUUUGUCUGGGGUGAAAGCCUU
This 275-nucleotide ribosomal RNA is filed under the name uncultured bacterium. RNAcentral's name for it is "partial 16S ribosomal RNA". It matches the Rfam family "Bacterial small subunit ribosomal RNA", at positions 338 to 604 of the family's 1533-position model. The record is from RNAcentral.